Molecule: ribosomal RNA, 558 nt
Filed under: uncultured bacterium
Lineage: Bacteria
Description: partial 16S ribosomal RNA
Rfam family: Bacterial small subunit ribosomal RNA
Source: RNAcentral
UGGGGAAUUUUGGACAAUGGGCGAAAGCCUGAUCCAGCAAUGCCGCGUGUGUGAAGAAGGCCUUCGGGUUGUAAAGCACUUUUGUCCGGAAAGAAAUCCUUGGCUCUAAUACAGUCGGGGGAUGACGGUACCGGAAGAAUAAGCACCGGCUAACUACGUGCCAGCAGCCGCGGUAAUACGUAGGGUGCAAGCGUUAAUCGGAAUUACUGGGCGUAAAGCGUGCGCAGGCGGUUUGCUAAGACCGAUGUGAAAUCCCCGGGCUCAACCUGGGAACUGCAUUGGUGACUGGCAGGCUAGAGUAUGGCAGAGGGGGGUAGAAUUCCACGUGUAGCAGUGAAAUGCGUAGAGAUGUGGAGGAAUACCGAUGGCGAAGGCAGCCCCCUGGGCUAAUACUGACGCUCAUGCACGAAAGCGUGGGGAGCAAACAGGAUUAGAUACCCUGGUAGUCCACGCCCUAAACGAUGUCAACUAGUUGUUGGGGAUUCAUUUCCUUAGUAACGUAGCUAACGCGUGAAGUUGACCGCCUGGGGAGUACGGUCGCAAGAUUAAAACUUAAAU